Non-coding RNA from Actinokineospora spheciospongiae, 506 nucleotides. It matches the Rfam family "Saccharopolyspora sRNA 350". The record is from Rfam. NCBI's taxonomy places the organism in Bacteria, Bacillati, Actinomycetota, Actinomycetes, Pseudonocardiales, Pseudonocardiaceae.
CGGGCGGUGAAGUCCCAGAUCCGCUCCUCCAGCAGGCCCCACUGGUCGAAGUAGUCGCCGUCGGCGACCACGCCCACCACCGCCUCCUCGCCGUACUGGCCCGCGGCGUGCUGCUCGACCCGGCCGUGCGCGAUGACCAGGAACCGGUCCUCGGCGUGGCCCCACUCGACGAUGGUGUCGCCCGCGGCGUAGGUCUCCUCGGCGAACAGGUUCGCCAGCGCGCCCAGGGUCUCCUCGUCGUCGAACUCGCGCAGGAACGCCAGUUCGCGCAGGUCACCGGCGAUCACCCGGGACUGCGAGCCGCUGCGGUCGACGUCGAUGCGGCCGUCGCCGACGACGUAGCUGCGCCGCUGGUUCACCCGGUAGGUGCCGCCGCUGACCUGCACCCACGGCAGGACGCGCAGCAGCCAGCGGGAGGUGAUCUCCUGCAUCUGCGGCACGGACUUGGUCGUGGUCGCGAGGUUUCUCGCCGCCGCCGUCCCCAGGGACUGCUGCGACGGCUGCGC